GAUGAAGAACGCAGCGAAAUGCGAUAAGUAGUGUGAAUUGCAGAAUUCAGUGAAUCAUCGAAUCUUUGAACGCACAUUGCGCCCUUUGGUAUUCCUUAGGGCAUGCCUGUUCGAGCGUCAUUUAAACCUUCAAGCUAAGCUUGGUGUUGGGUGACUGUCCGCUUCACGGCGGACUCGCCUCAAAAUUAUUGGCGGCCGGUACAUUGGCUUCGAGCGCAGCAGAAACGCGAACUCGGGCCCGUCGUAUUGGCUCCCAGAAGCUAUCUUCACAAUUUUGACCUCGGAUCAGGUAGGGAUACCCGCUGAACUUAAGCAUACAAUAAGCGGAGGA
Molecule: unclassified non-coding RNA, 331 nt
Filed under: soil metagenome
Description: partial contains 5.8S ribosomal RNA, internal transcribed spacer 2, and large subunit ribosomal RNA
Rfam family: 5.8S ribosomal RNA (bases 1-120)
Source: RNAcentral